CAGAAGAAACGAGGGAUGGAUAAUGUA
This 27-nucleotide non-coding RNA is filed under the name Homo sapiens (human). Lineage: Eukaryota; Metazoa; Chordata; Mammalia; Primates; Hominidae. The record is from RNAcentral.